CCCUAUGGGGUGCAGCAGGCGAGAAAACUUUGCAAUGUGCGAAAGCACGACAAGGUUAAUCCGAGUGGUUUCCGCUAAAGAAACCUCUCGUCAGUCCUAGAAACACUGAUGAAUAAGGGGUGGGCAAGUUCUGGUGUCAGCCGCCGCGGUAAAACCAGCACCUCAAGUGGUCAGGAUGAUUAUUGGGCCUAAAGCAUCCGUAGCCGGCUCUGUAAGUUUUCGGUUAAAUCUGUACGUUCAACGUACAGGCUGCCGGGAAUACUGCAGAGCUAGGGAGUGGGAGAGGUAGACGGUACUCGGUAGGAAGGGGUAAAAUCCUUUGAUCUAUUGAUGACCACCUGUGGCGAAGGCGGUCUACCAGAACACGUCCGACGGUGAGGGAUGAGAGCUGGGGGAGCAAACCGGAUUAGGUACCCGGGUAGUCCCCAGCUUGUAAACUAUGCAAACUCAGUGAUGCAUUUGGCUUUGUGGCCAAUGCAGUGCUGCAGGGAAGCCCGUUAAGUUUUGCCGCCUGGGGAAGUACGUACGCAAGUAUGAAACUUAAAGGAAUUUGGCGGGGGAGCACCACAAGGGGUGAAGCCUGCGGUUCAAUUUGGAGUCAACGCCAGAAAUCUUUACCCGGAGAGACAGCAGAAUGAAAGUCAAGCUGAAGACUUUACCAGACAGCUGAAGAGGAGGUGCAUGGCCAAGGCGAAUAU
Molecule: ribosomal RNA, 698 nt
Filed under: uncultured marine group I thaumarchaeote
Lineage: Archaea; Thermoproteati; Nitrososphaerota
Description: bacterial SSU rRNA
Rfam family: Archaeal small subunit ribosomal RNA
Source: RNAcentral